AGCUCAAUCUAAAUUCUGCGUUUAUUAGUUAAAAUAUGUUCAAGUCCUGGUAUUGAAGAUUUUACAGUUUCGCAUUUUAUAAUUUUCCCAAUGUUCACGAAGUGACCAGUUAAAGUCGUGCGAUAACUUGGACGGUAUUCAAUGCACUGUUGCACAAAUUUUGCGGUUUUCAAUCGGGAUAAUAUUACACUUUUUGCCUUUAACAGAGAUGGUGCACUUCUCCAAGAGGAUUUUUACACUUUCCUGAAUUGUGAACACAUGGGUGACUACUGAGGCUCUGAAGUGUAGGAUAUGCUUUACGUCGAUUAGUGAUCUGAAUUCGGGCACAAAGUCUUGCAGUUCAUGCGGUCCAUUUCCCGGUUCCACAAUGAAUAAGAGUGAGUUCUUCCCUGAAAUAUCGGUAGGAAAGUUCAAUAAACGGAGUAUAUCCGAGUCACUUAAAGAAAGAGAAGUACUGGUUUCAUUUUUAACCCCCCUGCUUGGCUUGGAUAAUAGAUAUACUGGAGUUUGCCACAUCACGUCUAACCUCAACUUCUGGCAGGAACUAUGUGUCAUUGUAGUGUCUGAUAUCAAGAGGCCAGAUUGAUUCUCGGAAGUCAAAAACGAUAAAUUAUUUUGAUUAGAAACGUUAUUAUUAAUCACUUUUUCAUUAUUAAGGAUAGUUGAUUUAUCCGUAACUGUUAACUUCAGUUUAUUAGAUAUUGUUUUAUCUUUACAUAUUAG
RNAcentral lists this long non-coding RNA (723 nucleotides) under Androctonus crassicauda. Lineage: Eukaryota; Metazoa; Arthropoda; Arachnida; Scorpiones; Buthidae. The record is from RNAcentral.